UGUUGAUGUUUCAGUCGUCGGGAUCUGCGCSGAGUCGGUGGAMGUUUGUUUGCCUUUUGUCUCUAAACCUUGUUGUCCUCUUUUUAAUUUCCUGUUGAUCCGACUCAGAGAUCCGAUUUCCCGCCUGCGUGGGACAGAUAAUCUUGUCAAUCUGCUGACUUUGUGAGGGAGAAUUUAAGGCGAUUCGGCUACCGAGGCUUUCAUCUUGGGAGUCUCCCCCACCAGCAACAGCACCACCACCAUGCUGUUCGCUGCUGGAGUCCCGGCCUCAUCGGGGGGUGGGGAGCUCCUCGCAUCUGUUGUCUGUAAGUUUGAAAAGUAGUGGUUGAGAGGACCCGAUUGGAGUUUACGAGGCGGUACAGUAUCACAAAGAGCUGGUUUUAAUUCAGCGUGGCAGGCAGACGGCUGAAGGGACGGCGCUGCCCCGGAAGUAGUCCGACGCGACCYCAGGACGAAGGAGGUCAAAGAAGAGUAAUGAAGAUAAAGACAGGGAGGGAUUCGGAGGCCGUGGGGGGGGAAAUAAAUAUGUCUUGAGAGGACGGGGAACAUGGACUCCUCUGGCGUGUAACGAGGAGACAUUCCACUGUAUACGUGUGUUUUCUUCGGUUGUAAAUACUGCAAGGACUCAGAGCGGCAACGAUGAAACUCUCAACUCUCUGCAGCUACACGUUGCWAGAAAACAAUGUGACACACGACGGGACAAACGGAGGGAACCUGUUAAGGGGGAGCGGACGCCACUGGAUGCGCACGCAGCAAGCUCAGCCACAGGCGGGAGGACCCCGGCGCUGUGGGUGACGCCUCACAAGCGGCCUUGACCCAAAAGAACCUGACCUCGCUCUCUAAAUCAACACGUCCCCUCCGGGUCCGUCCAGAGCCGGAAAGACUUAUCCGAGGCUGAACGUCGACACCGCCGAGGUUUAGCCUUCGAGCAGAUUCAUAGAGACGGUGUUUUUAAAAUUUAGAGGGAAMGUAGAACAACGUGUGGGUGUCGCAGCUCCCAGGGCUGCGGUGACGUCAUGCUCUGCCGAUGYGGUUUCGCUUCAUAUUGUUAGGUCCCAGCGGGCAAACUUCCAACACGGCCUAUUAUUGAGGUCCGUUUUUUUUUUUUUGUCUUCGCUUUGCUGACCUCAUAAAUAUUUUUUUGCUGAUGGUUAUCGAAACAUAACACUACGAAAAGCUCAACCAAACAUUCUUUGUUCUUUGAAAAAAAAAAAAAAAAGUCAUCCAUGUUUCUGUUUUUCUUAAAAACCAAUUCUUCCUGUUUGAUGCUUCUUUGCCUGCUUCAGUUCGUUGUUUUUUUUUUCUUCACCAGACUACAGCUUCAGUUUAGAAAAGAAAAUGCAAGUUUUAAAUGUCAUUCAAGAAAAACCUUCUCCUUUGGUACUUCAGCGAGGGGAGUUUGUUGUGGCAAGUUUGGGUCUAAUCUCAAACUUAUGUUUCAGAUCGUUACCUUCAUUUCUGUCUCUCUUAAAAACCAAUUCUUCCUCUUAUGGAAGAAUUUUCCCCGUUUUUGCAUGAUUUUGUCAUUGUUUUUUUCACCAGACUGAGGCUUCAGUUUAGACAAAAACAUGCAAGUUUUAAAGAUCAUUUGAGAAAAAAAAACCUUUAGCCAGCAACCAGCCUUUUAUCUGGGUCAUGGAGGUAAAGCCCAUUGUGUCCUCUAAGCCCCUGCAACAGCCCCUCUGGAGGCAAACAGCUUCAGGCUCGGACCAAGAACUUUACUAGAAGGUCAAACCCGGCCUUAAUUAGGAUCAUCAAAUCCAAGACACCUCAGGGAAUGCAGUGUUUGAAUCUAUUAGCGAGUCUUUUUGCUCAGUCCUGGUUCACCUACGGGCAGGAACAGAAGGCGACGGUUUCCUUGAGCUCCAGCCCGAACAGGAACUCGGUACCACCGGCUAUUUAUUUUYUCAUUUUCUUAUUCAGCACGGUAACUGGAUAGGCCCAGAUGGCUGGCCGCUGGCGAGAUUGACAGGCGCAUAUUUCAAGCUGUUUAUAUUUGGUGGGGUCUCCGGGGACGGUUUCAUAACUUACAUACUGUUAUAUCAAUACCUGAUGAGUUUACACAUAGCGGUGUGCUGCCAAAAACAUUAACAAGAGCGAGUUUGUUUAUUAUAAUUUUUUUUUUUUUCAGUUGUUUGGUCUCCACAGGAAUACUCGCGGAAAAUUAAAGAAAAAAAAAAAAAUGGACGCCUGCAGUUUGUGUUCUGAGUGCCACCUAUCUGACAGAGCAGAUGCUUUCUCUGGAUGCUCUGUUAAAUAUUGGCCCCGUCUCCCCCCAAUACGGAGCCCAAAAGGAAACACACACAUCUUUUUUUUUUUUUUUUGGUGCAGAUUGCUAAUAUGCAAAAUCAUCUGAACUUGUUUGCUUUGGAAUGCAUUCUCUCCACUUUUAAAUGUAUCUCUUCUCCAAAGAACCCCCCCACUCCCAAAAAACAGGAAAAUGUCACUUUAAUUCUCCCCCAGGCUGUCCUAAUUUCUUCAGAACGGAGAUACGGUGGAACCAGAACCGCCGGUUUGCCCUGGCUGCAGACGGUGAUUUGAUUUGCCAACGGAAAGCUCACGUUGCUGAUGUUACAGCUGUUUAAAUGUUUCUCUUUGCUUGUCCAGUAUUCUGAAACACAUUUAAUAAAAUACACUGGUAGGA
Long non-coding RNA from Poecilia reticulata (guppy), 2644 nucleotides. RefSeq lists it as uncharacterized. NCBI's taxonomy places the organism in Eukaryota, Metazoa, Chordata, Actinopteri, Cyprinodontiformes, Poeciliidae. The record is from RefSeq and is a predicted model, not a curated record.